AACGUAGGAGGCGAGCGUUAUCCGGAUUUACUGGGCGUAAAGCGCGUGCAGGCGGCUUAGAAAGUUGGAUGUGAAAGCUCCCGGCUCAACUGGGAGAGGUCGUUCAAGACUUCUAGGCUAGAGGGUGGUAGAGGGAGGUGGAAUUCCGGGUGUAGUGGUGAAAUGCGUAGAUAUCCGGAGGAACACCAGUGGCGAAAGCGGCCUCCUGGACCAUCUCUGACGCUCAGACGCGAAAGCUAGGGUAG
This 245-nucleotide ribosomal RNA is filed under the name uncultured bacterium. RNAcentral's name for it is "partial 16S ribosomal RNA". It matches the Rfam family "Bacterial small subunit ribosomal RNA", at positions 524 to 768 of the family's 1533-position model. The record is from RNAcentral.